This 253-nucleotide ribosomal RNA is filed under the name uncultured bacterium. RNAcentral's name for it is "partial 16S ribosomal RNA". It matches the Rfam family "Bacterial small subunit ribosomal RNA", at positions 524 to 776 of the family's 1533-position model. The record is from RNAcentral.
UACGUAGGCAGCAAGCGUUGUUCGGAAUUACUGGGCGUAAAGAGUGUGUAGGCGGUGCUCUAAGUUUGGGGUGAAAUCUCCCGGCUCAACUGGGAGGGUGCGCCGAAAACUGGAAUGCUUGAACAUGGGAGAGGAAAGCGGAAUUCCUGGUGUAGCGGUGAAAUGCGUAGAUAUCAGGAGGAACACCUGCGGUGUAGACGGCUUUCUGGACCAUUGUUGACGCUGAGACACGAAAGCGUGGGUAGCAAACAGG